This 72-nucleotide transfer RNA is filed under the name Bos taurus (domestic cattle). It matches the Rfam family "tRNA". Rfam says of the family: Transfer RNA (tRNA) molecules are approximately 80 nucleotides in length. Their secondary structure includes four short double-helical elements and three loops (D, anti-codon, and T loops). Lineage: Eukaryota; Metazoa; Chordata; Mammalia; Artiodactyla; Bovidae. The record is from Rfam by way of RNAcentral. RNAcentral also lists the same sequence under 4 other names.
UCCCUGGUAGCUCAGCGGUUAAAGCGUCUGCCUGCAAUGCGGGAGACCCGGGUUCGAUCCCUGGGUUGGGAA